Molecule: transfer RNA, 59 nt
Filed under: Cerophytidae sp. BMNH 900085
Lineage: Eukaryota; Metazoa; Arthropoda; Insecta; Coleoptera; Cerophytidae
Description: tRNA-Tyr
Source: RNAcentral
AGUAGAAUGACUGAUAAAAGUGAUAAAUUGUAAAUUUAUAAAUGAAUUUUUCUUCUGCU